GGCCAAGCCACGGGGGCCGUGGCGGCGGCGCAACGGGAGGCUGCGAGGGGGCAGGGCAGGCAUCGGCGACCGAUAAAGCCGGGGGGCGGGAGGGAGCGGCGGCGGGCAAGGCAAAGAAGGAAGCGUUCAACCAGCGCGCGAGUUCCUCGGCUUAGCGGGUGGAAGGGGGGGUUCGGGGCGAGGGGGGAUAGGGUGGCUCGCUCGCCUCCUGUGGGCUCUACCGCCGAGCCGCCGACCGGCCGCGCCCGGCGCGCCACGAGAGCGACGGGUCGCACGCCGCCGCCCGCUGGUUGAGGACCCGGCGGCAGGCGCUGUGGAAGAAGAGGUGGUUCCUUCACAAGCUCUCGGUGGCGCAGCAGAAGUGGUAGCCGUGGAGGUAGCGGAGGCAGGAGUGCCGGACCCGGCCAAUAAGAGAAGCAGUAUACGUCGUUUGUUUCUAGCUGUUCUCCGAGGUAAGGUAACUCCUUAGAAACUCCUUGUGGGUGUUUCAACUUGUACUACUCUAGUUUUUCUAACAAUGGAGGAUAUUGUAAUCGUGAAGUCGAACAUAUCGGUGACGUAACUGUUGAUGCCAACAACCUAUGCGGGACCCCACCGCGCCGCCUCGAACCAUGUGGGCCUCCUAGCAGGCCUCCCUCGUCGUCUUCGACUACCCGGUCUAUUUCAGCGUCUUGGCCACCGUGACCGCGGGGAAGUCGUUCGAGUCUUCGUCCAAGUCCUCGUUGGCCGUGCGGAGGUUCUCGAGACUGCGGGGCGGUGAAGGGCCGUUCCUACGGCUCCGGGGGAGCCAAUCGCCCCACAGACAGUUGUUCCGAGUCCCGCGGCUCCGGGAAAGCUUGUUGCGCCGGAGACGCUUGCAGUCGUCGCCGAGAGCCGGUCGUCGUCGCCGCCGCCGUCCGACGUCUACUGAGAUUAAUCUUUCUUUUGCGCCCCAGAACUUCACUUGUCAGCUACUACGCGGACCCUUAGCUCCCGUUUCUACGAUUCUACUACAAUCAAAGCUUACCUGACCGCCAGUCGGUCGGCGGUCGGCCAGACUAAGCCACCACCUAUUAAAACAUCGUGAUCGGUGAUUUGGACGACGAACUAACUAUCAUUCAUUGUCUGCCCCGACUGCGUGGUAUCAGGACUUUAGGACCGCUAUAAACACAGCAGCGGUACACAAAAAAAAAACCUUCGAGCAGCGGUAUAAACACACACCUAUUGAGUCGU
Molecule: ribosomal RNA, 1212 nt
Filed under: Triticum aestivum (bread wheat)
Lineage: Eukaryota; Viridiplantae; Streptophyta; Magnoliopsida; Poales; Poaceae
Description: partial small subunit ribosomal RNA
Source: RNAcentral